UACGGAGGGGGCUAGCGUUGUUCGGAAUUACUGGGCGUAAAGCGCACGUAGGCGGCUUUGUAAGUUAGCGGUGAAAGCCCGGGGCUCAACUCCGGAACUGCCUUUAAGACUGCAUCGCUUGAAUUGUGGAGAGGUAAGUGGAAUUCCGAGUGUAGAGGUGAAAUUCGUAGAUAUUCGGAAGAACACCAGUGGCGAAGGCGACUUACUGGACACAUAUUGACGCUGAGGUGCGAAAGCGUGGGGAGCAAACAGG
Molecule: ribosomal RNA, 253 nt
Filed under: uncultured bacterium
Lineage: Bacteria
Description: partial 16S ribosomal RNA
Rfam family: Bacterial small subunit ribosomal RNA
Source: RNAcentral